Molecule: long non-coding RNA, 1123 nt
Filed under: Buteo japonicus
Lineage: Eukaryota; Metazoa; Chordata; Aves; Accipitriformes; Accipitridae
Description: lncRNA (ENSBJAG00000006308.1)
Source: RNAcentral
GACUGGGUUGGGCUGGAAAGUUUCCUUGAAGGAAGGGGAAAGGGAUUUGGCCAGCAGGGAACGGCGAAACUGGAGGAGGAGCCACCCUCCGUCCUGGUUUUGCUUUGGACUAGCGGAUGCUCAGAGUGGUUUCGGGCUGGCGAGGGCUGCGGCUCCUCUCCAGGAUGUGUUUCACCGUCUGCCGGAGGCUGCCAAGCUGCAGUACCGGCAUCGCCGGCGGACACUUCUCCCGGCUGGCCCAGCUCUGCUGUGCUGUGGAUCGGCGCGGGAUGGGGACCGCCGAGCUGCCGGGAAGGGGAAGAGAGGAUGGCCUCGUAGAUCCCACCGAGCUCCUGCCUGCUCUGCCUGGACUGAGAGGACGGACCGUAAGUAGCCGUGACACCCCCCCGCCAGCUUAUCGUCGUCCCGACGGGGACCGGCUUCAGCUUCUCCUGCUGCCGGGGAUGCUGGAAAAGGUCUUCCCGACACAAGCAUCCUCCUCCUGGCACGGCUGAUGGGAUUAAUGGAGCAUCGAGGUGAUGCUGGGGGUGCAAAGCGAUGGAGCGGGUUAUUUUACGGAUAUUUUCCGCCGGGGCCGAUAACAUGGGAGAAAAGAGCAGGGGAGUUGUGCGAGCGUGCCGGCGUAGGGGCAGGGGAGUAAAUCCGUCUGGUUUACCCCAGAGGUUUCGGGGCCGGAGGACCAAAGCUCAAGGGUGGGGUUACUUUAGAGGUUAUGCUACCCCAAAACUGGCCUGUUUGCCAGCACGAAAGAGGAGGCGUGGAGGAAAUGGCGAGGAAACCGCAGGGCUGCCGUGGCGGGGGGUUUAAGGUGGUGCUUGGAGCAUUGCAAAGGGGAUGGCAACUGGGCAGAAGGCUUUUGAGUCCCUAAAAGGGGACCACUAGUCAAAAGCCACUGGGGAUGGUAGCUGCCAGUGGGAUAACUCGGCCCUGGGGCUUCUGAUCCCUUCAUUUCCCACCCCCUUUCCCCAGAGAGCGGGGCUCGAAGCCGGGCGUUGCUUGGGUUGGGGUUGGAGAUGGGUCGGAGCAUCUCGAUGGUUUAGUUUUUCACCUCCCUGGACUGUUCGCGUCCCCGCGGUGAGGGAGCGGGUGCUGCCUGCGGAUGCUUUGCCUGCUGCUCCUGGGG